Molecule: transfer RNA, 72 nt
Filed under: Perca fluviatilis (European perch)
Lineage: Eukaryota; Metazoa; Chordata; Actinopteri; Perciformes; Percidae
Rfam family: tRNA
About the family: Transfer RNA (tRNA) molecules are approximately 80 nucleotides in length.
Source: Rfam by way of RNAcentral
GGUUCUGUGGUGUAAUGGUUAGCACUCUAGACUCACAUUCAAGAGAUCUGAGUUCAAAUCUCAGUGGAACCU